GACAACGAUUUCUGGACACGUU
Molecule: non-coding RNA, 22 nt
Filed under: Arabidopsis thaliana (thale cress)
Lineage: Eukaryota; Viridiplantae; Streptophyta; Magnoliopsida; Brassicales; Brassicaceae
Source: RNAcentral